CCUACGGGUGGCAGCAGUAGGGAAUCUUUCACAAUGGGCGAAAGCCUGAUGGAGCAACGCCGCGUGCAGGAUGAAGGCCUUCGGGUUGUAAACUGCUUUUAUAAGCGAGAAAUAUGAUGGUAACUUAUGAAUAAGGAUCGGCUAACUACGUGCCAGGAGCCGCGGUCAUACGUAGGAUACGAGCAUUAUCCGGAGUGACUGGGUGUAAAGAGUUGCGUAGGUGGGAUAAUAAGUAUCUGGUGAAAUCUGGUGGCUCAACCAUUCAGACUAUUAGCGAAACUGUUAAGCUCGAGACCGUUAGGGGUAACUGGAAUGUCUAGUGUAGGAGUGAAAUCCGUAGAUAUUAGAAGGAACACCAAUAGCGUAGGCAGGUUGCUGGGACGGUUCUGACGCUAAGGCACGAAAGCGUAGGGAGCAAACGGGAUUAGAUACCCUAGUAGUC
RNAcentral lists this ribosomal RNA (442 nucleotides) under uncultured bacterium. RNAcentral describes it as "partial 16S ribosomal RNA". It matches the Rfam family "Bacterial small subunit ribosomal RNA", at positions 338 to 795 of the family's 1533-position model. The record is from RNAcentral.